CUUGACUUUAUAUUGCGAUUGGCAACUUUCAUAAAUUAGGUGCAUUACCACCACUGACCUUGUUCGUCUUUCACUCACCCACGUGGGUUUAACCAAUGAGGAGAUGGCACAUGGGUACCUGCUUCUAUAAACCAAUGAGGAGAUUGGAGAGGCAGGACUUGCAGCGUGAUCUGCGUCACAAAUAGGACUGACUUCUAUUUUAGCCCUUGGCAACACAGACGCUCGUUGGCAUGCGCGAGCAGUGUGGGUGCAAUAAUUGAAUAAUAUAGAUUUCUAAAUGUAUUUUGCUACGGUCAGCCUGUAAGGCACUGCAUCGCAGUGCUAGCUGUGCCACUAGAGAUUCUGGGUUAGAGUCCUGGCUCUGUCGCAGCCGGCCGCGACCGGCAGACCCAUGGGGCGGCACACAAUUGGCCCAGCGUCGUCCGGGUUAGGGGAGGGUUUGGCCGGCAGGGAUGUCCCAUCGCGCACUAGCGACUCCUGUUUUGGGCGCGCUGAAUUUUAAAAAACUAAUUAAAAAAAAAAAUAACUGUUGAAGUCUCGGGGAAGCAGCUCGCUGAAACAACUCUCAGAGAACCUCUAGGUGGGUCUUUACACGUAUACACGUCAGCAGCCCUGUCUUUCUCUACCAUCAGCUAUACUCAUGGUACUGUCACUUCCUGUCUCUCCCUACCAUCAGCUAUACACACGGUACUGUCUCUUCCUGUCUCUCCCUACCAUCAGCUAUACUCACAGUACUGUCUCUUCCUGUCUCUCACUACCAUCAGCUAUACUCAUGGUACUGUCUACCUGUCUCUCCCUACCAUCAGCUAUACUCAUGGUACUGUCUCUACCUGUCUCUCCCUACCAUCAGCUAUACUCAUGGUACUGUCUCUACCUGUCUCUCCCUACCAUCAGCUAUACACACGGUACUGUCUCUUCCUGUCUCUCCCUACCAUCAGCUAUACUCACAGUACUGUCUCUUCCCGUCUCUCCCUACCAUCAGCUAUACACACGGUACUUUCUCUUCCUGUCUCUCCCUAGCAUCAGCUAUACUCAUGGUACUGUCUCUUCCUGUCUCUCCCUACCAUCAGCUAUACUCACAGUACUGUCUCUUCCUGUCUCUCCCUACCAUCAGCUAUACUCAUGGUACUGUCUCUACCUGUCUCUUCCUACCAUCAGCUAUACUCAUGGUACUGUCUCUUCCUGUCUCUCCCUACCAUCAGCUAUACUCAUGGUACUGUCUCUACCAUCAGCUAUACUCACGGUACUGUCUCUUCCUGUCUCUCCCUACCAUCAGCUAUACUCACAGUGCUGUCUCUUCCUGUCUCUCUCUACCAUCAGCUAUACUCACGGUACUCUCUUCCUGUCUCUCCCUACCAUCAGCUAUACCCAUGGUACUGUCUCUUACUACCAUCAGCUAUACUCACGGUUCUGUCUCUUCCUGUCUCUCUCUUCCAUCAGCUAUACUCAUGGUACUGUCUCUUCCUGUCUCUCUCUUCCAUCAGCUAUACUCACGGUUCUGUCUCUUCCUGUCUCUCUCUUCCAUCAGCUAUACUCAUGGUACUGCCUCUUCCUGUCUCUCUAUACCAUCAGCUAUACUCAUGGUACUGCCUCUUCCUGUCUCUCUAUACCAUCAGCUAUACUCAUGGUACUGUCUCUACCAUCAGCUAUACUCAUGGUACUGUCUCUACCUGUCUCUGCAGAGUUUGUACUGUGUCAAUUUAAAAACAAGGCAGCCAUCUUGAUCUGACUAAAUACAUGGGAUACAAUACAACAUGUUUCCAAGUGGACAAGUAUUGUCAGAGAAUAUAUCUAAACCUGGCUGGUAGAAAGACGAUAUUCAAAACUAAACAUGACCACAUCAGCAGGAUUCCCAACAUUCAACUACUUGUCUGAGUCAAGUGGUCUGAUCUCUUGCCUAGUUAAAUAAAGGUUAAAUAAAACAUCUCUCUCUCGCUCUCUACAAAGUUUGAGGGCCCUGGUGUGAGGAAGCUGUCACCCUGCUUGACAGAACCUGACAUUUCCAAAGGUCUGUGAGGAGGAUCGUUUGUGACAGCUUCAAAUUACAGUGUGGGAGAAAGGGAAGGAUGGAGGGACUAUAAAUGUCACUUCCAGGAGGUGAGGGGGAAGGAUGGAGGGACUAUAAAUGUUACUUCCAGGAGGUGAGGGGGAGGUAUGGAGGGACUAUAAAUGUUACUUCCAGGAGGUGAGGGAGAGGGAUGGAGGGACUAUAAAUGUCACUUCCAGGAGGUGAGGGGGAGGAUGGAGGGACUAUAAAUGUUACUUCCAGGAGGUGAGGGGGAGGGAUGGAGGGACUAUAAAUGUUACUUCCAGGAGGUGAGGGGGAGGGAUGGAGGGACUAUAAAUGUUACUUCCAGGAGGUGAGGGGGAGGGAUGGAGGGACUAUAAAUGUUACUUCCAGGAGGUGAGGGGGAAGGAUGGAGGGACUAUAAAUGUCACUUCCAGGAGGUGAGGGGGAGGGAUGGAGGGACUAUAAAUGUCACUUCCAGGAGGUGUGGGGGAAGGAUGGAGGGACUAUAAAUGUCACUUCCAGGAGGUGAGGUGGAAGGAUGGAGGGACUAUAAAUGUUACUUCCAGGAGGUGAGGGGGAGGGAUGGAGGGACUAUAAAUGUCACUUCCAGGAGGUGAGGGGGAGGGAUUAUAUAUUGUGCCUCUAAAAAAAAAAAAGACGUUACAUGGGCAUUUCUC
RNAcentral lists this long non-coding RNA (2688 nucleotides) under Salmo salar (Atlantic salmon). RNAcentral's name for it is "lncRNA (ENSSSAG00000091000.1)". The record is from RNAcentral. Lineage: Eukaryota; Metazoa; Chordata; Actinopteri; Salmoniformes; Salmonidae.